RNAcentral lists this ribosomal RNA (253 nucleotides) under uncultured bacterium. Its description in RNAcentral is "partial 16S ribosomal RNA". It matches the Rfam family "Bacterial small subunit ribosomal RNA", at positions 524 to 776 of the family's 1533-position model. The record is from RNAcentral.
UACAGAGAGUGCGAGCGUUAAUCGGAAUCACUGGGCGUAAAGCGUACGUAGGUGGAUAUUUAAGUCGGAUGUGAAAUCCCUGGGCUUAACCUAGGAAUUGCAUUCGAUACUGGGUAUCUAGAGUAUGGUAGAGGGAAGUGGAAUUUCCGGUGUAGCGGUGAAAUGCGUAGAUAUCGGAAGGAACAUCAGUGGCGAAGGCGGCUUCCUGGACCAAUACUGACACUAAAGUACGAAAGCGUGGGGAGCAAACAGG